ACGUUAUCCAUACGUUAACCAAAGAGAAUCGUUUUCACCCUCCCUUCACGGAGAAUGAGCGGGGUUCGUAGAGGUGUUGAAAGGGAUUGCUUCGCGUAGUCAGCCUCUAUCUACUAUUUAUGUGUAAUAGAAAUAUUCACAUUAACGCUGUAUCUUUUGUGAAGAUUAAUCUUACACAGUGCUCUCCUUUCAUUGAGUGCUGCUGUGGGAACUAUAUUUACCUAUUUCACCUUUUUUGCUAGUUGACUUUUAUAUGUUGUUCUUUACGCUUGCGUAAGGUUCACACGUUUAAUUAUUUGAACGUUAAAAUUACAACUCUUAGCAAUGGAUAUCUUGGUUCU
RNAcentral lists this unclassified non-coding RNA (341 nucleotides) under rhizosphere metagenome. Its description in RNAcentral is "partial ribosomal RNA internal transcribed spacer region". The record is from RNAcentral.